GGCUUGUGGCUCAGCGGUAGAGCACUUCCCUAGCAAGUCCGGGGCCCUGGGUUCAAUCCUCAGCACCA
RNAcentral lists this transfer RNA (68 nucleotides) under Marmota monax (woodchuck). RNAcentral describes it as "tRNA.Ala". The record is from RNAcentral. Lineage: Eukaryota; Metazoa; Chordata; Mammalia; Rodentia; Sciuridae.